RNAcentral lists this ribosomal RNA (411 nucleotides) under Bacteroidota bacterium. Its description in RNAcentral is "Bacteroidetes bacterium partial 16S ribosomal RNA". It matches the Rfam family "Bacterial small subunit ribosomal RNA", at positions 355 to 776 of the family's 1533-position model. The record is from RNAcentral. Lineage: Bacteria; Pseudomonadati; Bacteroidota.
UGGGGAAUAUUUCGCAAUGGGGGAAACCCUGACGCAGCGACGCCGCGUGCGGGAUGAAGGCCUUCGGGUUGUAAACCGCUUUUGAUUGGGAGCAAGCUUUCGGGUGAGUGUACCUUUCGAAUAAGCGCCGGCUAACUACGUGCCAGCAGCCGCGGUAAUACGUAGGGCGCAAGCGUUAUCCGGAAUUAUUGGGCGUAAAGAGCUUGUAGGCGGUUCGUCGCGUCUGGUGUGAAAGCCCAUCGCUUAACGGUGGGUUUGCGCCGGGUACGGGCGGGCUAGAGUGCAGUAGGGGAGACUGGAAUUCCCGGUGUAACGGUGGAAUGUGUAGAUAUCGGGAAGAACACCAAUGGCGAAGGAAGGUCUCUGGGCUGUUACUGACGCUGAGAAGCGAAAGCGUGGGGAGCGAACAGG